GUCUAUUAUCAGCCAAAUAAUCAACCCCCAGCAUACACAGGCACCACACAGUGGGGAUAAUCCCCAGGUGAAAUGGGCUUUUAAUGAGCUGGUAAGGAGCAAACACAGAUGACUCGUCAAUGGACAAUCAGGGCUGGUGAGAAACCCCACUGUCUGAGGAGCCCUGCUUGCCCAGGGAUUGUUUAAUGCACCGGGUUAAGCACAAUGGGCCAUCGCUUUCCAGCGGUUCAUUGCUAUUCACCCCGCCGUGCCUGGCAGGGGAGAUUUACCCGGCAGGACAAGUCUAACGAGGGGCUGGGGAUGCAGAUGUGAGCACAACUGGCCACAGGCAUCCGGCUCUUGCAGGCGUGGAAGAAGCCUGGAAAUAAAGAGGCCAAAGGCUCUGAAGCGCCUCUCGCUAGCAUCACGCCAGCAAUUUCAAAUGGCAUCACCCCUGCCUGACACUGGCGAGAGCAGCCUCAGCCCCAGAGUGUUCUCGUGUCACUUCUCUUCCAACAGGGCCAAGAGGUGUCAGCCGAAGAUCAGGGCCCAGCUGCGCUAGGCGCUGCACAGACACAGCCUCAGAGGAGACAGAGCAAAGGAGUAUCCUCCUCCUCUUGUAUAGAUGGGGAACUGAAUCACAGUGAGAUGGAGCCACUUUCCCGGAGUCACACGGGACCUGAGCCAGGAGCUGGUGUAAGAUUUCAUAGAUUCAUAGACACUAAAACCAGAAGCCCAUUGUGCUAGACAGCCUAACCUCCUGUCUAGCACAGGCCAGAGAAUUUCCCCCAGAAGCUGGACUAGAGAGCUUGCCUUGUAGAAAGAGAUCUAAGCUCGUUUUAAAGACUCCACGUAGGGGCGCGUCUGUCCCCCACCUCUCCUAGUUAACGGUUCCAACGUUUCAUUACCCUCACUGCUAGGAAACUGCAUGUUCAUUUCGAGGCUGAAUUCAGCUAACUUCAAUGUCCCGCCGUUGGAUCAUGUUCUGCCUUUGUCUGCAAAACUGAGACCCCCCUGCUCUCAGCUUUCUUUUUCAUGUGCAUCAGCAGAGUGGCCUAUUUCCGUGCACCUGGGCAAGCAGCUAAAAGGUGUGUCGUUCACCAGGUGCUGGCUGAGCGGAGAUUAUUGACAGGCAAAGCAUCGGAGCAGGAAAGGAAUGGAGAAGUGGAACAUGGGCCAGCCCUGCAGCUGCUCCUCUCCUGGAGGGACGCCGAGAUGUCAGUUUGCUUGUUUUAGUUCUUGGUUUUUAACAUAAGAACGGCCAGACUGGGUCAGACCAAAAGUCCAUCUAGCCCAGUAUCCUGUCUUCCAACAGUGGUCAGUGUCAGGUGCCCCAGAGGGAAUGAACAGAACAGUGAUCAUCAAGUGAUCCAUCCCGUCGCCCAUUCCCAGCUUCUGGCAAACAGGGACACCAGCCCUGCUAAUAGAUAUUGAUGGACCUAUCCUCCAUGAACUUAUCUUGUUCUUUUUUGAACCCUCUUAUAGUCUUGACCUUCACAACACCCGCUGGCAAGGAGUUCCACAUGUUGACCGUGCGUUUUGUGUGUGUUAGUUCCCCCUUUGGGUUAUGCAGCCGGAGCCAUCAGGAGUGAGGCCCUGGGAGCGAUGGGUUGGGAAGGAGGCCAACCAUGGGAGUGGCAGAGAGGGACACAGACUGAGAGCACCGGGGCCCUGGGCUGAAUUCAUUCUGGUCCUCCCUGGUUCACUAUACCAAGAGCGGCUUGUGCUACGCCCAACCACACAGACCUUUCACUGGGCACCAAGACGGAGAGACCAGGAUGGCAGCUUCCACCGGCUGACUCACUCACUCUGGCUGGCAGCCAUCCCAGGCUCAGAGCUUGAUCCAACUUCCAUUGGAGUCAGUGGAAAGAUUCCUUGGAACUCAGGUUGGGCCCCUGGAGAACAUACCUGUAUGGAUGGGUACUACCAUCACCUUGUGUGGGGAUGCUCUUGGAGCCUACAGGUCAACAGAGGUCGGGUGGGCAGUUCUGGGCCGGGGCAGCCCCCCAUGUGCUGUGGGAAGUGGGGCUGGACAUUCAGUACAUAACACACUUCAAUCUCAGUCAGCCCUGAGCCAACGAGGCACAACCAGUGCCAGGCCCUCAGAAAUCAUGAGCCAGGCCCUCAAAAGUCAUGAGAAUUUACACAGCAAGUUCUAUUUCUUUGCCUCCUGGCACUGGAGCCAUUAGAGGUCACAUUUUCAAGCUUUUCUCAAAGCUUACUGCAAAGACUAGAAGCUUAGCUUGUUUGACAAUGAAAGCAGAGAUUCUCAGGGUUUCAUGUGACUCUGGGAGCUGAGGAUUUAAGGAAAAGCCCCAGAUACCACGAGAUCUGUGGUAAAAUCAUGGUACUAAGGGGGUGCUGCUGGAAAGUAGGAGAGGAAAAACUGAACUGUCCUGAUCGCUUGUGGGUGGUCCCAGUGCACUUUUCACAGGAGCAAGAGCCAGUGUUGCUAGCUUCACACCUUCAAAACUCAUGAGUCAGGCCCCAAAAAUGUCACAAGUCUGGCUUAAAAAUAAUAUUUUUUGAAAAAAGUCAUAUUUGGAGUUCUUUUUAAUUUUCUCCUAGUUUUGAACCUUUGGGUUGCACUUGUUUCAAGCUUUUCUCUGCAACCAGGAGGGCUAGAAACUUGCCUUUUCUUGUCAACGAAAGCUGAGAUUCUCAGACUCUCUCUGGAGUCCAGGAGCUGGGGCUUUCAAAAAUACACCGAAAAUUACGACUCAUGGUAAAACUAAUGCAAGUUGGCAACACUGCAAGACUGUUACCCAAAGCAGGUAGGCCUCAUUCCACUCUGGGUAAUUGCAUUCCACCUCCCAAAAUUUCUCCCCGCAAUGGCACUUGGAUUCUGCUUCACUUCCUGUCCUAAACUGUUGCAUAGCAUUACUAUGCGCUGAUAAACAACGGCUGCUUUCCACCUCAGAGGUGGCUGCAUUUCUGUAGUUGGUGAGCAGCUCCUUUCAUAUCCUUUAACCUACCUCACAGGGUUCUGAGAUGAAAGCACUUGGAGAUCUUUGGAUUCUGGGGCUGGGGCCUGGCUUAAAUGAGACUUCUGGGGGUUGCACGGGGGGAUGGAUUUAAUCUGGGUGUGGCAAUGUGUCAACAGCUCUCAAGAUUUUAUCACAAGUUUUAUGACAUUUGGUUUUGGUUUGUUUCUCAAAACCAGGCUGGGAGUCACGUGAGUAGGGGACAAGCUCAGCUUUUAUUUAUUUAAAAUAAAAAAAUGCUUUUUCCCAGUCCUUGUGGCUGCAGAGAAAAGCUUGAAAACAUGGCCCCAGUGCACCCUCAAGACUGAACAAAAAGAACCGCCAAUAAUAUUUAAAAAAAACAAAAAAAGAAAUCUCAUGAUUUGUAAAACAAUCUCAUGAUUUUUCAGGGCCUGAAUACUUGGAGCUGGUCCUACAGCUCAGUUCCCCCCACCCCCUACCCCCAAAAAUCUCCACCCAGCAACAGAACGAGAUUCAAAUCAUUUUCUGAAACGUCUGAUUGUCAAACCUCCCCCUCCCACCUCUUUUUGCUCUCUGGUGUUUUUGACUCUACCUCUAAAAACAAGCCGUGAAUUUCAUGCAGCUGCAGCCCCAGGUGUUUGGAGAGAGAGAGCACGGGGCAGGAAAUGGGGUUGCCAGUUUUCUCGCUCUCAUCUUUUUAUUUAAGAAGGCAGCUUCACUUUCUAAAAGAGGUGCUGGCCACAGUUUGAGGCGCAAUCUCAGGGAAGGCGUUUUUUUUGGGCAGGGUGCAGGGCUAGGAAAGGCAGUGGGAGGGUCCUCUCUCAUCCUCCAGCCUCCUCACACCUCUCAGAGAAGUCCCCAAGGCAGCCUUGGGGAUGGGGGCGGGGGUCAUUGCUGAAAAGGUCCAUCAGCCUGCACCCUCAAAGAGACGUGAGCUGAAGAAUGCAGGGCUUCAGCCUGCGAUCGUCGAGCGUCACGCGUGGCCCUAUGGGCCUGCCUGCCCAUGCAUCUAUCCCUAUGUGCAUUGGCCAAUCAGCGUCCCUAGUCCUGCCUCUGCAGGCAAACCAGGGAGUGUAUGCACCGGCCCUGAAUGCGCCUGUAACUGCACAGACUCCUGUGAACACAUGCACGUAGGCCUCCCAACGAGCCUGGGAACAGACCUUUGCCUGGAACGCCCCUGUGCUGGGUGCGUGAGUUUGCCCUGCGGGUUGUGGCUCUCCCUGUGACUGUAUUCGCACCUCUGUGGAUGCAUGCAGCUGUGAGUGCUGGUGCAGGAGGGGGGCCCUGCGAACAUGGCUGUAGCUCAGGACAGGCAGCCAGCCCAGUGUGUCCGAAAUGCCCUAGUCUCUCUCGGAGACUCCGUGAGUCAGCUGAUCCCUAGAUCCCUCUGCCAGCUGGAUGUAAGCAGGUCCCAAGCUGAGCCAUAUCAGAGGCGAGGCUGCUGCCCUGAGACUGGCACAGUCUGGUGCAUGGGAAACAGAAAGGGUUGGCGGCCAAGGAUCUGAGAUGUGGGAAAAAAGGGUAAGUCUACACUGCAAAAUCGCCAAACCAUGGCAGCGAGUCUCAGAGCCCUGGGCAAUUGACUUGGGUUCAUGGGGCUCAUGCUACGGGGCUAAAAAUAGCCAUGUCAACAUUCCCGCUGCAGGGGGAGCCCCAGCUCUGAGACCCCCCCCCAGUUUACAGAUGGGGAACUAAGGUACUGAGAAGCCAAGGGCCUGAUUUUUAAAAGGUCUUUUGGAACCCGUUGAUUUCAAUGGGAAUUAGACACCUCGCGACCUUUACAAAUCAGGCCCACAGGCGCUGGCUUAUGGUCACGCAGGAAGUCAGUGUCGGAGCAGGGGACUGAGCUGGGUCUCUGUCCUAGCCAUGGACCCAUCCUUCCAGAGUCAGGAUCCUGUUCCUUCACUCCCGCGAGGGACCAAGAGCUCACCCUGAAACAUACCGGAGCCAAAGGGAGGCCAGCAGGACAAAGCAAGUUGGGGGAGCUGGGGGGGAUAUCUCCUCAUCCAUGCCACCAGCUGCAAGAAUGCAGGGGGAGCCCCCCUCCCUGACUCUCAGUCCCUCCCCAGGCUCAGCUGGCACUGCCCACCUCAUGAUCUGAAAGCUACUUUCCCGCUUUCACUCCCUCCCCCCUGCUUUCUCUUUUUCUUGAUUUUCAUUUCUUUUUCCAGCGAAGUUCUGACCUAGACCUGGCUGAAAACCUGUGACAGUGUUUAAAGUGCCAGGGGGAGUCCCCCCAUCUCCCACCAUUUCCUAAUAGAGAAGUAUCAUCACUGCCCACACAUCUGCCAUUAGCCAGGAUGCUAAGCUGCCAGCCAUCUCGCUGGUCUGGCCACAGCUCCAGGGAUCACUCAGGGGGAACUUUCUUCCAUCACCCACUGCUGCAUACCUAGGCUCCCCUCACCGUGGUAUCUGGGCACCUCACAAGCAGGGCAGAACCCCUGCAGCAGGGUCAGGCUGAUCCCCAUUUUCCACAGGGGAACUGAGGCCCGGAGAGAUUGAGGGGCAAAUAUUCCAAAGAGCUCAGGGCCAGACUUUCAAAAAGGGCCCAGCUGCCAGCGGCGACACUUACCGCCAGGUUUGCAAAGGAGGCCGACACGCAGAGUGGUCAGCCCCUCGCAAAAGCUGGCCCUUCCUUAGGCCAGCCAGUAUGAGCUGAACAUCUGACCCACUCUGAUGUGCCCAAGGUCACUCAGGGUGCCGGGAUUUAAAACUGAGUCCUACUCUGGAGCCUUACCCGCACAACCGUCUGGCACCACAACUGUCAUUCCCCUUGCACCCUAUCUCGCUGCACUCACUUUGCUUCCAGCACUCCUGCACCCUAAUGUCAGGCUUUGACUCAAGGCUUUGCUCUGGAGUCAGAUGCUCUAACCAAAGCAAGCAGCUGUGGGGACUCUGCUUUCGGCAGCAAGGACUGUCUCUUAUUAUGUAUAUGUACAGUGAGGCCCCAAUGCUCCUAGGGCUUCCUAGAAUAGAAAGAAUGAAUAAUAAAGAAAUGCUGAAUGAA
This is a long non-coding RNA of Dermochelys coriacea (leatherback sea turtle), 5931 nucleotides long. RefSeq lists it as uncharacterized. The transcript is spliced from 2 exons. The record is from RefSeq and is a predicted model, not a curated record. Lineage: Eukaryota; Metazoa; Chordata; Testudines; Dermochelyidae.